UGUUUCCGGGACGGAUCGGGUAGCGACAGUAUCAUAACUGUGUUUGGCAACAAACAACUAAAAGAAUCAGAAGAAGAACUUCCGUUUUGCCGUGGCACUAGAAUUUAACAACAGUGACUGAAAAUAUGAGUGGUUAAGACAUCGGUGUUUUCACACGCCUGGGCGGGACAGUCGACACAGCGCUGAGCCAAUUACAACAGACUGGGUCAGCUUGACCAAUCGGAGCGUAUCAGAAGGAGGGAUUUGAUAGAAACAGGAAAUCCUCUGAGAGUUCAUGAGAAGAGAGACCGCGGUGAAGAAGAAAGCCGCAUUUUACAGAUAACUGCUGCUUUUUGAUCCCUUUCUGGACAUCUGCACAAGUUCAAUAUUCAAUAUAUCAAUGUGUUUGAAAAAACAACUCUGGGAGCAAAAACCUACACAGUUCACCUCAUUUUUUACACUGCGUUGGGAAGCGCUUGACAUCUGUAUUGUGAGCACACCAGUAGCCUACAUCACCUGAACUCUUUACAAAACUGAAAAACAUUUCCAUUUGACCACAAACUUUAAAUAUAAUGACAAUACAUGCAUGAUAAUACUACAGUAAUGAUGCUAAAAAUUCAGCUUAGCAUCACAGACAUAAAUGAGAUGUAGACGUAUUAAAAUCGAAAACAUUAUUUUACAAUGGAAUAACAUUGCACAGUUUUGUUGUUUUUGGUCAAAUAAAUGGUUCAAUUAUAAAGUCAUAAUAGACCUGUAGGUGGCAUUCGAGCUUUAUUAACAAUGGUAGGUUCCUCAGUAAACGGUGUUUCAAUAUACAUUAAUACAAGUGAAAUAAAAAUGAUAUGUACAAUUUUUUGUGAAUAAAUCUAAGAAAUUUAAGUUGUAAACAAACAUUAAUAUUACAUAUGAACUUACCACAAGACAUGCUGAAGGCUGAUUGUUGUGAAGGUAUAUUAUGACUACAGUGGGCUAAUAUCCACAAGUGUGUAAUUCUGUCCUCAAACUGCAAAUAUACUUUCAAGUAAAAUUCAUGUCUAGAGAAAGGCCAUCCGUCAGUAUUUACUGCAGUAAUAUUCUGAAAUGAAACAAGUUAAAACAUUGAAUGUUUUUCAAUAAAGGUGAC
This is a long non-coding RNA of Triplophysa dalaica, 1102 nucleotides long. RefSeq lists it as uncharacterized. NCBI's taxonomy places the organism in Eukaryota, Metazoa, Chordata, Actinopteri, Cypriniformes, Nemacheilidae. The transcript has 3 exons. The record is from RefSeq and is a predicted model, not a curated record.